GACGAACGCUGGCGGCGUGCCUAAUACAUGCAAGUAGAACGCUGAAGGAGGAGCUUGCUUCUCCGGAUGAGUUGCGAACGGGUGAGUAACGCGUAGGUAACCUGCCUGGUAGCGGGGGAUAACUAUUGGAAACGAUAGCUAAUACCGCAUAACAGUAGAUAUUGCAUGAUAUCUGCUUGAAAGGUGCAAAUGCAUCACUACCAGAUGGACCUGCGUUGUAUUAGCUAGUUGGUGGGGUAACGGCUCACCAAGGCGACGAUACAUAGCCGACCUGAGAGGGUGAUCGGCCACACUGGGACUGAGACACGGCCCAGACUCCUACGGGAGGCAGCAGUAGGGAAUCUUCGGCAAUGGACGGAAGUCUGACCGAGCAACGCCGCGUGAGUGAAGAAGGUUUUCGGAUCGUAAAGCUCUGUUGUAAGAGAAGAACGAGUGUGAGAGUGGAAAGUUCACACUGUGACGGUAUCUUACCAGAAAGGGACGGCUAACUACGUGCCAGCAGCCGCGGUAAUACGUAGGUCCCGAGCGUUGUCCGGAUUUAUUGGGCGUAAAGCGAGCGCAGGCGGUUAGAUAAGUCUGGAGUUAAAGGCUGUGGCUUAACCAUAGUACGCUUUGGAAACUGUUUAACUUGAGUGCAAGAGGGGAGAGUGGAAUUCCAUGUGUAGCGGUGAAAUGCGUAGAUAUAUGGAGGAACACCGGUGGCGAAAGCGGCUCUCUGGCUUGUAACUGACGCUGAGGCUCGAAAGCGUGGGGAGCAAACAGG
RNAcentral lists this ribosomal RNA (763 nucleotides) under uncultured Streptococcus sp. RNAcentral describes it as "bacterial SSU rRNA". It matches the Rfam family "Bacterial small subunit ribosomal RNA", at positions 28 to 776 of the family's 1533-position model. The record is from RNAcentral. Lineage: Bacteria; Bacillati; Bacillota; Bacilli; Lactobacillales; Streptococcaceae.